UUUUGGGAGGCUCUGUUUGUGUUUGGAUAAGGCCGAGGGAAGAGAGCUCGAGCGGCGGAGCGGAGUAGGUGAUUCCAUAUGUUCAUGGCGAGUCCAUUCCUCCACCGCAGGAUUUUGAUUUCUCAUCCCUUUCUCUUCGAUCUCCGGCUUCCGCGGUAGGUUGUUCUUGUCUCUCGCCCUGUCCCGUGGUCUGUGUGUUGUGGUCGUGUAGUUUCCAAAUCUAGGUGAUCUUUUUGUUUUGAUCCGUGGUGGUGUAUGUUGCUGCCUUGUUGUUGUAGGCUAGUUUUGAGAGGAGUAAAUUGCAAAAAAACACCAUAUUUGUGGACCCUAAAUAAAAAAACCGCCACGUUUCAUUUUUUUUGCAAAAACCCACCACCAUUGUACAGACAAAUUGCAAAAAAGACUGAUCAGUCAAUAAGCAGCGAUUGACGCCAAAACUGACCGAUCGGUCCCACUUGGCAGGCUGACAUGGCACCAAGUUUUCACACCGUUUGACUAGCCCAUUAAAAGGUUCCCAGGGCCCACCCGUCAGCUUCUUGGCUUCUUUCUCUUCUCCGAGCCUCUUAUCCACGGAUGCUGGCCUCGCCGGCGCCGCUCCCCCACGCCUCCCUUGCUGGCCAAGCCUCCCCUCCCUCCCCUUCCAUUGCCGGCAGCCACGGCAGUUCCCGUUGUCCCCGGCGGAGGCAGGGCCGGACGGAGGCUCGGUGGUCACGGGCUCACGGCGGCUGGAGGUAGCGGCGGUGCUGUCGCUGGUCGGGUCGAGCUCCCCCACGCCGAGCUCGCCGAUGACCUGAGACCAGCACGAAGAGCUCCCCGACCUCCAGUGCUCCUUAUUUCCCAACCCCGCGACCCGCCCCAUACUCGAUUAUCCCCGUCGCUGUUGCAAACCUCGGCCCGCCAUCGACGCCGUUCAUGGUUGUCGCGGCCAAUGACCACCGCAAAUCACUGAAACUAGCCGAAUAGACUUGUCGUCGUCUGAAUACUCUCUUCCCCAGAGGAAUCGGCGUGAGGAGCCAGGAACGGAGGAACCGUCGGCGUCGCUUUCAUCUUCUCUGCCUCCGGUGGAGCUCCACGACGCGCUGAUCUCCUCUACAACUAACCCAUGUGAUCUGCCUCAACUACAUCUGCUUCGCAAGGACGUGCAUAAGGCACUAAUGCCUCUUCCUCGAGCUCUCUGCAAGGCCGCCCCCGCCCUUCACCUCUGCUAUGUCAUCCACCGCCGACGUCGCGGCUAACUGCCGUGCUCCGCUGCUGUCCCCGUGUCCUGGACCCACCUAGGCGUGCUAAUCCAUUGAUUUCCGCCUGCACAUCGGCAGCUCACAGCCCCGACAGCAAACACACCGCGCGGCGAAGCUUCAGAUUUGCUCUAGAUCCAGCUCGUCGCCGCCCUCGCAGUUCAUGUCGAUGGCCACCUCCGGCGCCCGUUGCUCCUUCCCAUCGCGUGCAUGGCCACCGCCACGGCAUCGGGCGGCUCGACUAGGAGCAGGUCGUGGCGGCGCGUCCAAAAGAAGAAGGCUGCGGCAGCCCAGCAGCGCGGGGCGGCGGCGCCGACAAGCGUGCGGGCGCGGGCGCGCUGUGGCCUGCGGGGCAGCGACUGGUUCGAUUUUGACUGGUCAAACCUGACUAAGUUAGCGCCGUUAGUCCCUUCGUGACGGGCGCCGUCUCCCCCUCCGCCAGGUGGCAUCUGACAGUGGGACCCAACGGUCAGUUUUGCAUCAAACGGCUCUAAUCAACCAAUCAACGUUUUUUGCAAACUGUCAGUACAAUGAUGGUGCGUUUUUGCAAAAAAAAAACGAAACGUGGUGGUUUUUUGAUUUAGGGUCCCCAAAUGUGGUGGGUUUUUGCAAUUUACUCGUUCUGAGAGUGUUCUAUGUCAUCUGGUGCUUGUGGUCGUCUGAUUUUGUUUCCUCUGCUGUAGAUGCAGGUGUAGCGGUCGCCUGAUUUUCUGCGUGCAUUUUAUAUCUGUUGUAGAUGGCUUGGCCUGAGUUUCUACUAGCUUGCGAUGUAGAUGUAGUGCUUAUUUUUGUGUAUCCUUCCUCUGAAUUUGUUGGCUCCUGAUGUGUUCAGUUGCCUGCUCAUAUUUGCUCUUGUAGGUCUUGAAUCCCUCUUAUAUUGUUGUAGGUGUUUAGUUCCCCUGGUUUUGUCAGUCUUAUAUCAUCUCUCUGAAUUUAUAUGUGCUAGCCCUGUAGUGCUGAUGUAGUUUAGUGUUAGUCCACGUUGUAGUCCCCACGCUUUUUUUAUUUGUAAUUACAGUGUAAUAUACUCUAGAAUUAUAGUGUAAUUUAGCCCAGAUUUUCAGUGUAGUCCCCAUGGUUCUUUCUUUGUAAUUCCAGUGUAAUAUGCCCUAGAAUUAUAGUGUAAUUUAGGUCCGUUUUUUCAGUGUAGUCCCCAUGGUUCUUUCUUUGUAAUUCCAGUGUAUUAUUUCCUGUAAUUACAGUGCAGUAUACCCUAUUUACUGUGUAAUCCCCAUGCCAGUGUAAUUCCUGUGCCUUUUUAGUGUAAUUUGCCCUACUGAAUUGCCCACUGUAAUUCAUGUGCUAUUCCACUGUAAUUACCCUAUAUGUAUACUGUCAUUUUACUGUAAUUUGCCCAAAUGGCCCGCUGUAAUUCCUGUGCUUUUCCUCUGUAUCCCAUAUUUAUUCUGUAAUUUAUAUUCAGUUUUUAGCCAGUGUAAUUCUUGUGCCUUUUUACCCUAAUUUGCCUAAUUUACUGUGUAAUUUGGCUCAAAGUUUCACUGUAUUUAUAAUGGUUUUUACACUAUUUUUAGUGGUACUUUCAG
This 2779-nucleotide long non-coding RNA is filed under the name Triticum aestivum (bread wheat). RNAcentral's name for it is "long non-coding RNA (TAES_LNC013906)". Lineage: Eukaryota; Viridiplantae; Streptophyta; Magnoliopsida; Poales; Poaceae. The record is from RNAcentral.